GUAGGUGGCAAGCGUUGUCCGGAAUUAUUGGGGCGCAAAGCGCGCGCAGGCAGUUCUUUAAGUCUGAUGUGAAAGCCCACGGGCUCAACCGUGGAGGGUCAUUGGAAACUGGAGAACUUGAGUACAGAAGAGGAAAGCGGAAUUCCACGUGUAGCGGUGAAAUGCGUAGAGAUGUGGAGGAACACCAGUGGCGAAGGCGGCUUUCUGGUCUGUAACUGACGCUGAGGCGCGAAAGCGUGGGGAGCAAACAGGAUUAGAUACCCUGGUAGUCCACGCCGUAAACGAUGAGUGCUAGGUGUUAGGGGGUUUCCGCCCCUUAGUGCUGCAGCUAACGCAUUAAGCACUCCGCCUGGGGAGUACGGCCGCAAAGGCUGA
This 375-nucleotide ribosomal RNA is filed under the name uncultured organism. RNAcentral's name for it is "partial 16S ribosomal RNA". It matches the Rfam family "Bacterial small subunit ribosomal RNA", at positions 527 to 897 of the family's 1533-position model. The record is from RNAcentral.